RNAcentral lists this ribosomal RNA (607 nucleotides) under Salmonella enterica subsp. enterica. Its description in RNAcentral is "partial 23S ribosomal RNA". It matches the Rfam family "Bacterial large subunit ribosomal RNA", at positions 1084 to 1693 of the family's 2925-position model. The record is from RNAcentral. Lineage: Bacteria; Pseudomonadati; Pseudomonadota; Gammaproteobacteria; Enterobacterales; Enterobacteriaceae.
CCCAGACAGCCAGGAUGUUGGCUUAGAAGCAGCCAUCAUUUAAAGAAAGCGUAAUAGCUCACUGGUCGAGUCGGCCUGCGCGGAAGAUGUAACGGGGCUAAACCAUGCACCGAAGCUGCGGCAGCGACACUGUGUGUUGUUGGGUAGGGGAGCGUUCUGUAAGCCUGUGAAGGUGUGUCGUGAGGCAUGCUGGAGGUAUCAGAAGUGCGAAUGCUGACAUAAGUAACGAUAAAGCGGGUGAAAAGCCCGCUCGCCGGAAGACCAAGGGUUCCUGUCCAACGUUAAUCGGGGCAGGGUGAGUCGACCCCUAAGGCGAGGCCGAAAGGCGUAGUCGAUGGGAAACGGGUUAAUAUUCCCGUACUUGGUGUUACUGCGAAGGGGGGACGGAGAAGGCUAUGUUGGCCGGGCGACGGUUGUCCCGGUUUAAGCGUGUAGGCUGGUUUUCCAGGCAAAUCCGGAAAAUCAAGGCUGAGGCGUGACGACGAGGCACUACGGUGCUGAAGCAACAAAUGCCCUGCUUCCAGGAAAAGCCUCUAAGCAUCAGGUAACACGAAAUCGUACCCCAAACCGACACAGGUGGUCAGGUAGAGAAUACCAAGGCGCUUGA